This is a long non-coding RNA of Ipomoea nil (Japanese morning glory), 149 nucleotides long. RefSeq lists it as uncharacterized. The transcript has 3 exons. NCBI's taxonomy places the organism in Eukaryota, Viridiplantae, Streptophyta, Magnoliopsida, Solanales, Convolvulaceae. The record is from RefSeq and is a predicted model, not a curated record.
UCUAAUUGAAUGUUUGUGGUGGUUUUUUCUUUUUGCCCUUAUAUUUAUGUUUAGAAAAUGAACGAAGUGUUAUCCUAAAUUAGGAGGGAUCAUAGUCUUCAAAUAAAACAUUUUAUCUUUUUAAAUCGAAAAGUAUUAUGUAUGACUAA